This is a non-coding RNA of Vicia faba (fava bean), 333 nucleotides long. The record is from the annotation of a GenBank genome assembly. NCBI's taxonomy places the organism in Eukaryota, Viridiplantae, Streptophyta, Magnoliopsida, Fabales, Fabaceae.
AUGUUCUCACAACUUCAUCUUCAUCGCAUCAAUCUUCAAUCAACAUCAUUGAUUCUGUACAUCAGUUCUGAAAACCGCAACCAGCAUAACAUCUUAAAUCUUUAUCUUCGACGACUCCAACCUUCUGCAACAAUAUACAAUUCCAGUAUCAACGGAGUUCGCAUCACAAAAACACGGGCAAAUCUGAAACUCAGAAAGAAGAAGAAGAAAGGAGAUACAAAGGGGAAGAACCCGAGAUCGGACUACAACAGUGUUGGUUCAUCGGAAAUGGAAGCGACAGAUCGAGAAGCAGAUUCGUUGAAGAAGAACAGAAAUAGGACGAUGUUACGAUGA